Molecule: ribosomal RNA, 752 nt
Filed under: Pseudophaeobacter sp.
Lineage: Bacteria; Pseudomonadati; Pseudomonadota; Alphaproteobacteria; Rhodobacterales; Roseobacteraceae
Description: bacterial SSU rRNA
Rfam family: Bacterial small subunit ribosomal RNA
Source: RNAcentral
GUGCCCUUCUCUAAGGAAUAGCCACUGGAAACGGUGAGUAAUACCUUAUACGCCCUUCGGGGGAAAGAUUUAUCGGAGAAGGAUCGGCCCGCGUUAGAUUAGAUAGUUGGUGGGGUAAUGGCCUACCAAGUCUACGAUCUAUAGCUGGUUUUAGAGGAUGAUCAGCAACACUGGGACUGAGACACGGCCCAGACUCCUACGGGAGGCAGCAGUGGGGAAUCUUGGACAAUGGGCGCAAGCCUGAUCCAGCCAUGCCGCGUGAGUGAUGAAGGCCUUAGGGUCGUAAAGCUCUUUCGCCAGAGAUGAUAAUGACAGUAUCUGGUAAAGAAACCCCGGCUAACUCCGUGCCAGCAGCCGCGGUAAUACGGAGGGGGUUAGCGUUGUUCGGAAUUACUGGGCGUAAAGCGCACGUAGGCGGAUCAGAAAGUAUAGGGUGAAAUCCCAGGGCUCAACCCUGGAACUGCCUUGUAAACUCCUGGUCUUGAGUUCGAGAGAGGUGAGUGGAAUUCCGAGUGUAGAGGUGAAAUUCGUAGAUAUUCGGAGGAACACCAGUGGCGAAGGCGGCUCACUGGCUCGAUACUGACGCUGAGGUGCGAAAGUGUGNGGAGCAAACAGGAUUAGAUACCCUGGUAGUCCACACCGUAAACGAUGAAUGCCAGACGUCAGCAAGCAUGCUUGUUGGUGUCACACCUAACGGAUUAAGCAUUCCGCCUGGGGAGUACGGUCGCAAGAUUAAAACUCAAAGGAAUUGA